GACGAACGCUGGCGGCGUGCUUAACACAUGCAAGUCGAACGGAAAGGCCCUGCUUUUGUGGGGUGCUCGAGUGGCGAACGGGUGAGUAACACGUGAGUAACCUGCCCUUUACUUUGGGAUAACUUCAGGAAACUGGGGCUAAUACCGGAUAGGAGCUCCUGCUGCAUGGUGGGGGUUGGAAAGUUUCGGCGGUUGGGGAUGGACUCGCGGCUUAUCAGCUUGUUGGUGGGGUAGUGGCUUACCAAGGCUUUGACGGGUAGCCGGCCUGAGAGGGUGACCGGCCACAUUGGGACUGAGAUACGGCCCAGACUCCUACGGGAGGCAGCAGUGGGGAAUAUUGCACAAUGGGCGGAAGCCUGAUGCAGCAACGCCGCGUGCGGGAUGACGGCCUUCGGGUUGUAAACCGCUUUAGCCUGUGACGAAGCGUGAGUGACGGUAAUGGGUAAAGAAGCACCGGCUAACUACGUG
RNAcentral lists this ribosomal RNA (468 nucleotides) under uncultured bacterium. Its description in RNAcentral is "partial 16S ribosomal RNA". It matches the Rfam family "Bacterial small subunit ribosomal RNA", at positions 28 to 507 of the family's 1533-position model. The record is from RNAcentral.